Molecule: long non-coding RNA, 1727 nt
Organism: Macrobrachium nipponense
Lineage: Eukaryota; Metazoa; Arthropoda; Malacostraca; Decapoda; Palaemonidae
Exons: 2
Source: RefSeq, a predicted model, not a curated record
AAAUGUUGCAUUACUUGCAGUAAUCGCUCCAUCUCAUAGUUCUGAAUGUAUAAGUUAUCCAAGCAUUAUCACAUUCUCAAUUAGAAUCCAGUUCGUCUCCAGCCACAGGUAGUCACGAUGGGGCAUCGACCACGAAUUCCUAACGGAAGUUGUUUACAGGAAGAAAGAUGGUUAGCGAUGACGUCGAAAAUGACCUUGCUCUACGGACAACGAUGACUCAAACGUCGUUAAUAGCGCUAACGAUUCCCCGAAAGAGCUUCGGCUCCACCCGUCGUCAUCCAAAAAACCCACUCGGCUGGAACGAAACUGCAACUGCAACUCCUACUUAAAGGUGGGCGCUGGUGAUCAGGGCAUCACAACACCGCCAGACUUGAUUGCGUAAAGAUCCAUUGGACGAAUCCUGCGGCCGGCUGAUAACGCUUAGUUCUUACAGACGAGAACCUCCCAUUACCUGCCUUCGAAAUGAAUAUCUUUCGAACAAUCCUCCUAGUUGCCUUGGCCCUCACCGCCCUCUCCGAUGCUAUGCCUCAGUUUUUCGGCUUUCGACGUCCAGGCUUCUUCGGGCCUCGAGGAGUGAACAGGAGAGGGCGUUUUUAUACGCCUAGUCGCAGCAGAUCCUCCUCCUCCUCACGCAUUGGAAAUCGGGUCGUUCCUGAUCCCUAUGCUUUCGUGAAUGCAGAUGUUUUCCCUGCAGAACCUUUCAUUCUAUGAGGAGCUUCCGACCUGAUUGCGGAUGUCGUGCCGUGAUCCACUGGUGACCAAAAUGGGCUUCGCUAAUACGAAGAUCAUUGUGGAAUGGUGCUUCACCACGAGUGCUUGUUUAUCUGCGUUAUGGUUCUCUGUCAUGGCAGAUAUUGACAGCACAGCUAAAGGGCAUUACCUGAGUGAUUCGUGUGAAACUAUGCAACGAAUGAGUUACCUUAUAUCAUUUGCAAAGCUAAGAGAGUACUUUUUCUUCUGUACCUUGAAGUAUCAAGCUACGCAAGAAGAAGUCGUACCUUCUUUCAAAGCUGACAACGAUAGACCUUUCAACUAGAAAGGUACCAGACAGUGUAUCAAGUGCACUUUUGUAAAUGCACAAAGAUAGGCUUACCAAAUAUGUGCAACUUACCAUUACAUAGAGAAACAAUAUAAAUAUGAGCCACAAAAUUCAUUUAUUUUUAUCGUUGGCACAUGGACCAUAGAACCUUGUUUGUUGUUACUGAAUAAUUAAUCAUGCUUUGAUUGGGUUAAGCUAAACGGAUAUGGAUACGUUAAUUAUAAGACGCUUUAAAACUCGUCCAUCCAUAUCCCAGCUCCGUCAGUUUUUGACACAAGCACUUUUUGUAUCCCAGCCCAUCUGUAUUUGCGCAUUACUUACCAAAAAGUGCUCAAUAUAUAGGCCAAUAUCUCUUUAAUUUUUGUACAAUACUUCGGGUACUAACUGUGAUUUUAAGCAUAAUCAGGGCAUUUGAUCCCAAACUGACUUAAUUUACAGUAUUUUAAAUUUGGAUUGCUAAUUAUUAAGCAAUGUGGUCAGUAAUUUGCAUAUCUGUAAUUAAUUCCCAGUUUGGAUUUGCAACCACCAAAACUUUGAGGUUAAAUCUACUGUAAUUAAGGUGCUAGUCUUUCUUGGCCUCAUACAGUAAUGUAUUUAAAGUACGCUUAGAUGUAUGCAAUUCGUUCGUUACGAAAUAACAUUUAACCAAAGAUUAUGUAUUACUGUUAUUAAAUCUGUUUACCCUAUG